UUUAAUUUGUAUAUCUAACAUUGUAAUUAUUAUACGAUUCACGAUAUUAUUUAAUAAUGUCGUACAUUACAUAUUACUUGUUUCGAUAUAGGCUACUUUUCCUAAUCAUUAAUGUUCCGUUUAUUGCUCUAUAUAAUCCGGAAAAAUAAUUCUUUAAUAGAAUGGAGAUAUAAUUCUUCCAACAACGGGUAUUAGCAAUAAUACGCCAGCGACCAACGGCCGAUUAAUAGGAUUUUCAUUGUCAGAGAUCACCGACCGCGUGUUCGUUAAUUGGAUCUUCUGGCUCAAAUGUUGGAAGAUACACCCUUUCUACCAAGUAAGCCAAUAUACCAUCAGCUAGCUCUAUACAGUGAUUCUAAACCGUAAAACACGAAACAGCGUGAGCGAAUCAUACGAUGAAAGUUAGAAUUACUUGUACUAUAUUCGCAAAUUUUUACUCGACGAUGUUUGGUUACUUUCACGAUUUUUGCCUCGUUAUAUUUACGUUUGUUCCGUAUGUUUCUUGACCUUUGCUCGAUAGAGGCUCGAUCGUUGUUGUCAAGAGUAUCGAAUUAAAAGGAAAAUCGGACGAUAAAGCGAUAUGAGAAUACGACACAAUAUACGCGAAGCGUUAUACGUCUGGUAUAACAUAUACAGACACGAGAAGCAAUAUGAAUGAAAACCAACGACAGGACACAUGCAAAUUAAGAUGUGAAGGAACACGUGGCGGCAUGCUCCAUUUCCAGAUCGUCAUCGGCAUAAUCUACAACGAGACCGGCUCGAGAGGACAUUCUAAUUUUACGUAACGACAUCGUACCAAUAUCUUUUUUCCAUUUCGCAACAACAAUCCUCAUUUACAGACAGCGAUCCGUUGCAAAAUCCGUCGCGACGGAUCUGGCUAUAAACAUGGCUGCUUCAACGAGCAAGGAAACGAGAUUGAAACAAGAAAUACUGGUUGCCGUUUAAAUUGCAUCGCGAAUUGAUAACACUUAACGAAUAACGUCGCUUGUUGUACAAUAGCGACUGACGGUGUCCUUGUUCGAAUAAAUCGAAUCCCAGUCAUUUUUCAAUGUCUUUCUACUUCGUUAUUAUUAUUGUUAUUAUUAUUAUUAUUCGUAGCGUCAUUAUUAUUCUUAGAAAUGAAAUUAAUCGGCAAUUGCGAAGAUUCCCGUAAAAUUCGGAACAAAUAAUCCUUCAUAAAGAAGAUAACCCAGAAUAAAGAUCCAAAUUAAUUAAAUCAUCACGGGAACUGAACUUCUCUUUUGCAUCAGCGUUUAGCUUUGUAAAUCUACUAUAACGUUAUGCGUUUGAAAUAAAAAAAAAACUAUAACAUAGAAUAAGGAAAUAAUGUCAAUUAAUCUGCAGUUGUAAUUUGUUUAACAAUGUAUGAUAUACGAUGCAUUACAAAAUAUUCUCUAGUGGUGAUUCUAGUUGCUUCAAUAAAAAAAAGAAUUGUGGAGAAUCGGUAGCCUUCAACAGGUGUUGUUUAGAGCGGAAUGGAUUCGCGUUCACUCGAACGAGUCAUCGAGGAGUAGUGUGUAUGUGCGAUUGUUCAGAGGCUCGGCAAAUGACAGCGCGAAGAUCGCCGUCUUGCUCGAGGAAGCACGGCUGAACAUGAUUAGAUAAUCGGCAGGCUGACGCGAUCAAUUAGUGUGCAGACAUAAACGUGGCACAAUUUCUGGCAUCGAUCGUGACGUCAAGGAACUCGACACCCGCUGUAAUACCCACGACAAAGACAAAAACACGUAAGAACUAACAGCUGGUUACCUGUACAGGUGUAAACGAUACGAAGGACGAUAAUAAAGUUAAUAUUUCUGAUUAAACGAUUAAAUGAGUAAUUUUCUAAUUAUAUUGAAAUAUCCCGCAACUCAUAUAAAUUUAUUGGGAACAACAGAUUCAUUGAUUAUCCUUAUUUUUUAUAAUUUCUCAAUCAAGUAAUAGGUUGUCACGUGUAAAUAAGUGAAUUUAAUCAGUCAUUUAACCUUCACGCUAUGUAAUCAAUUUUUUCAACUGCUGUUGAAAAAUAUCGAUCAAUAAAAAAAUUCUUCACUCUUUACUUGUCCUCUCUCAAAAGGUAUACUAAUCAACUGUGUAAAUUGAAAGAGAGGAAAAAGCGACAAUGUUAUACAUAUCAUAUUUAAAAAAUGAGAGCCUUGUAUAUCAAUUUUUUAUCUUCAUUUGUCAAGCUUUAUAACGAAGGAGAACUUUAAAUGGUAUAGAUUAAGGUCAAAGUCUGCAGUGAACAAGUUUACAAUGGCAUUCAACUACGUUGUCUAACAAUAGAAAAAGGUAAUAAAACAGACAGUAGCUGCAAAAAAGUGUAAAACAAUGUUCUUCGUGUCAUUAAAUAUUUAUGAACGUUCUACGACUUCACACAGAGCAAAACAGCAAUAAAUUACAGUAGUCUGCUAGGAAAAACUAGUAUUACAUAUCACAACACAAAACGUAGUAAACAUACGAAGUCUGCAAAGGUUUAUGUCAAUUUGCACUAAACUGAUCGUUCAAGUACAUACCAUUUUUCUCCAUAAUCGUACAUUAUAGUUGAAUACAAAUCUCUAACAAAUAUCAUGCAUAGUGAUGAAACUGUGAACAGGGAAAUACUCGUAAAUUCAAUUACGUUUAUUAUGAAAAUUUGCAUUUUCUUUUUAUAAUAUAGGAUCUAAAAAUAUCCUUGUAUUUUAAAACGUUAUAGCAUAACAGCUUUCAGAUUCGUUUUUGAGUAAUAAUUGCAAACCAAAUUAAAUGAAAUUUAGUAUAUUUGCGUGCUCGCUACUAUGAAUGAAACUCAGAUAAAUGUAACUCUACUAUACUACUGCAUUGUCAUUCCUUGGUUAGGUUGUUACUUGAAAAAUCUUUAGAGCGUUGUUCUUCGAACGAAACACGACGAGUAUUACGUGGCAGUUCCCGCAGCCAUUAUCCUGUAUGCGACGAUUAAUCUCAUAAUCCGAUCGUUACGAGCGAUUAAAGCGAUUAUACCGGUGCGUAAUAUGCAUGAGACGAGACGCGUAUGCUGUGUUUACUCGCAACGAUACGAUUUUCAGAGUAGCCCCAUAUUUUUACCCACCCAAAUUGCAUAACGCCCAUGUUGUUGUUACUCGAAUAUCAAACGUUUAUAUUAAUUGAAGUCUCUUCUGUUUGUCUGUUCAGCGUUUCGCACCCGCGAUUCGCGAUAUAAAUAUCGUAUUUAUAGCGUGAGUGGUGCAUGGAUACUUGGAAUAGACAAACUCUAUUAAUAACGAGCCACAAGAUAAAAUAUUUCCGAGUAAUAUUAUUCGAGUGAUGCUUCGUACAAAAUGCUUAAUCGGUGAUUACUAAUAAGUUGUUGUGACAAAUUGGUGAAAAAAAACCGCGUCAAACGGUCAAACGAUUGCAUAAUAACUGACCUGAACGAUACUAUACAAUAAAAUUGUUGCAAAGACAAUAGUGACACAAUCGUGAAACGAGCUGGCCACUUGCCACGAUAUUAUGAAUUCAUUUUUUACAUUAAUUUUGGUAUUCUUUUGUUACGAUAUGCCAUAAACAAAGACCACCAUGGGAAUGAUACGAUAAGUCCAUUUUUAUUGAAUUUGUUGAUUUUGUUGAUAGCAAGGUAUUUGAGUAAAUCACACAUAUUUAAUUCCAAAAUCAAAGAAAAAGGUAGGUUCGAUGUGCGAUUGUUUCGCUAUUUAUUAAAUUUUAAAGUUGUUUUUCUAAAGGGCGUGAAAUGCAAUUUAUUAGAUUUUUCAUCUGUGGUGAUCAAAUUUAACACUGUUGUUUCCUUGUAAAUUUGAAAAUAAAAUAUUAAGUCGUUCGAAAAGUCAAAGAUCAAUAUAAAUAUACAGGGUGGUUGAUAACUGGUGGUACAAGCGGAAAGCGGGUGAUUCUACGCGAAAAAAGAAGUCGAAAAUAUAGAAUAGAAAUUUUUUUUAAUUUUUCCAUCGAGACAACGAUCUACAGUGAGAUCCGUUAUAACGAGACGUGAUAAAGUGCACACGUACCGAACGAAGAUUCAAAGUCGAUUUUCUCGAAAACAAAGCCUCAAACGAAAAAUUGUUAUUCUAUAUUUUCGACUUCUUUUUUCGCGUAGAAUCACCUCCUUUCCGCUUGUACCACCAGUUACCAACCAUCCUAUAUAUAUAUAGAUAAGAUAAAGAUUACAACGUUCGACAGAUCAGGUUUCAUGUUUGUAUAAAGAUGCAUUGUUGUAAAAGAAGUGUCUGUAAAAGAAAGACACUUUUCUAACAACCUAAUAUGUAUCGCCAUUUGAAUCUUCUAAAGAGAAUCUCUAUUUUCUGUUAUUCGCUGUAAUUGCGAUCGUAUAACAAGACGCAAAGAAAAAUCACGAUCGGAUAUCCUCGUAUGCAAAUGAAAAAAUAUUAACACAAUGCGCAACAGUGCAGCUAUUGAAACAGAUACUGACUUUGUAGAUACAACGAAGUCCAACGUACAUCGGACGCCGAAGCGUGUUUGUCUGUUUCUGUCGACAUGUUUGAGACUUUGUCGAUAAUCGUAAAUAAUUGUUUUCAGAUAGGACGUUAUUUGCGGCGUAACUUUGACUUGGUGAAACCACAGUUCUUCCUAUUAUUGCUACCAUUUCUUUGAAGCGAAAAACGUGUACAGAAGAGCUACGUAAAAAACAAGCCGUUUGUCGUUUCCGUAGGUCGUAAAAAGAAUUUACAAGAAUCUUUUUAAGUUCUCUAGAAAGGCAAGAUCUAUUAUAACAAUCAUUUAGAGAGAUAAAAACAGAAUUUUUGCAUUUUUUCUUUCACCUUUACACUCUCUUAUACUCUGCAAGUAAACUAAAUCCUUCAUGUGCAACUUUUAUUUUAUUUAUCUGCUGUGUUAGAUUUAAGAAAUUACAAAAAUAAUCUGGGCUGUUCAUUAAUACAUCUACUACAAUAUACAAUUACGAUAAAAGUAAAAGUUCGAAAAGGAAAGAAAUUCAAGAGCAAUGUAAAAUUGAUAAUCAGAAUACGAAAUGGCAAAGUUGUAUGAAAAAUAAGAGAUGUCAGACGUACAUAAGAUUUCCGUAUUUCCAUCCGAAACCAACUCGAUCUCGUGACAAUGAAACGUGUGCACACGCGCCCACGACUUCGCAUGCAAAUGCUGUGUAAAAGUCGCGUGCACUCGUGUAAAAGCGUGACGCAAGCGUAAAGCACACGUGAACGUAAUGAUGUCGAAUGAAAUUGGCAUAUACAUAUACUGUCUUGUAACGAAAGCAACAGAUUUGAAUAUAAAAGACUUCGUACUUCUAAUGAUUUCUUGCGACAUAUGCGGAUUACGCGUUCUCCUUUUGGAAUAGAGAUUAGCCGUAAAUCAUUAACAAGAGCCGGUAAAUAGCUUAGGAUUAUUUGUAUAAGAAAAAGAUUUUAACUGACGAUAUUUACAAAAUAAUAGUCUUGUAAAUAUAUUAGUUGCUUAUGAUAUUUGUUCAAUAAACUCCUGGUAAUUCAAUUCGUUUAAGAAAAUAAGAUGAUUCACGUUUCUAUUUUAAACUGUUUUAUCUAAAUUGAUGGUAAUUAAAGAUGGAACGUAAUAGUUAGUUAGCAAUGUUUUACAACGAACUUUAUAGUUUUCGAAGCAAAUACGAUAAAACGUUUCUGGACAGAUAGAGAGUGUACACUUAGAGUGUAAGCUUUUUGGCCAGGAUAAGAUCGACCCCGCCCUACUGUUUGAAGGUCGGGCAAAUAUUGGAGAAAAGGAAGGAACCUUCAGGACCCUCCAAUCGUACGAAGGAAACGGAAAAUUGAUCGAUAUAACCUCGAUAUCGAGUAUCAACUUCAACCUACAACAAUGAUAGUUGAAGAUUCAAUCCGAUAAAGGAGAGGAGCCGAUUAUAACGUUAUAAUAUGAGCUCAACUUUAUUAAAGUAGAGCUGAAUACAUGUGCGAUAACAAUCGUAAUAAUAAUCGCCGAUCCAAAAAUUCAAUUGAAUAAAAGCUUUUAAAUUUUGUAAAUUGUAUUUUCUUAAAAAUCAACAUAUACUCGACAACUAUUAAUUUUCCAAUCCAAUUCGCCAAUCCUAUAUUCAAUCUAAAAGAAAAAGAAACCAAUUAUAAGCUCGAUUCUCCACAACUUCCAUUCUACGAAACCAGGGAGCCCAAAUUAACCAACACCAUCCUAUUAAUCAAGAAUCCUCAGAGGAAUGGUCAAACGCAGAAACGAAACCCGAAAGAAACCAUCGCGGAAGCGUCGAAUCUAAAACGGAAGGGGUGGUGGAUGCACGCGGGGUAGGAAAAGCACGUUCCCGAUCCGUAACGAAGCCAUAGAUCCAAAAGGGGUUGCGAUGACGCCAGCACGAUCACAGGGACGCGCGAGAUUUCGCGCGUGAGUGUGCUCGAAGAGGAACGAUCGGCAGUCUCGUUCGGCUCGUUGAACAUAAAUCUCGUCUCCCAGUGGACGAUGACCCGUCGCGCUUAUUUAUCAUCGCUUUUCUCUCUGUUACGGCUUAACAUUAAUGACAACCCGAUAUAGUUUCCAACGCAACUUUCACUAAUGGCCGGCUGUUUCCAUCGACAAUUAACAAAAUAUCAUUUUUUCUAUAUUCCUAAAGAAACUCGAUGAUCUUGGAUAUAUAAAAAAGAACGCUGUCAUCCAACCACACUUCCGAUCCCACUAACUGCAAACUCAAAGAGCAUUUCGAUGAUUCUUCUUCAUUUUACCAGGCUGAUAUCUAUGCAGGAAAUACAUUCGAUGAGAAACGAGAACUCGUUUAAUUAAUUGCAGAUUCAAAGUACAUUUUGACGAUUCUUCGAUGAUUUGACGAAGCGACGAAGCAAUAAUAUUCGAGCUGAGACAAGUGGAAAAAUAAUAGAUCGAAAUAUAUGUGCAUUUUAGUAUAUUAGCUCUGUAACAUAAUACGAUAUUCCAUGGCUAAAAUAAAGCCAGACAGACUAAUUAUCAUGGAUACUAAUUUAAUAACUGUACAAUAAUAGGUAGACUGUAAAUGUUUAUGGAAAACAUAAAGGUGCAAAAUUGUACGCAACAAGCGAGGAUAUAGAAAAUAUGCAAAGUAGAAUAAGCUUAAAAUAAAGUGCAGUAUGUAAAAUAAACUUGUUACAAUAUGUAUAAUGUAUAUACUUGUCCUUGUUUUAAUUCCAAGAUCUCGUAACCUUCUGAUUUGUCUCUCCUAACUUUUUUUAUCAACUCAUCUGAUCUUUAUUGAUUUUUAACACGGUGAUUACAAAACGGUCCAAUUAACAAGUUAAUUUGAUUUUCGUUACGUAUAUAAAAUCACCGAUUCAUCAAGCCAUUUUCGAACCGUAAUUCGCUUUAGUUCCAUUUAACUUGGAAAACAUCGAUUCUUCUAUUAUUCUAUACGCACGAUAUACGGGUACAUACCUGAUCUAUCGUCAUCUAAAGGUAACAUCUCGCCAGUCU
This is a long non-coding RNA of Bombus huntii, 7338 nucleotides long. RefSeq lists it as uncharacterized. The record is from RefSeq and is a predicted model, not a curated record. Lineage: Eukaryota; Metazoa; Arthropoda; Insecta; Hymenoptera; Apidae. The transcript has 3 exons.